Molecule: RNA transcript, 2335 nt
Organism: Plodia interpunctella (Indianmeal moth)
Lineage: Eukaryota; Metazoa; Arthropoda; Insecta; Lepidoptera; Pyralidae
Exons: 5
Source: RefSeq, a predicted model, not a curated record
UAAAUAAUCAUAAUAAUUUGAUUAUGUGAGAUAUUUUUUUAUGAAAAAGAUAUUUGAGAAAUAAAUCAUUGCCAAACCUUGUAAGAUUAUGUCGUAGUCUAAUGACUACACUUACAAAAAUCUGUAAUAUUUGCUACAUGGAUAAAAAUUUCAGAGUAAAAUAAAGUUAACAAAUUUAAAUACAAGCAUGUUCACCUUAUUGUAUAAAAAAAUAUCAGAGUAUGAUUGGUUACAGACUAAGUUUACAUCACCACAUCACUAGCUAAGAAGCCUGGUCAUAUGUUCACCACCAACUGUCAAUAUUCGUGCAUCAACGUGUCCCAUUUUUUUGUCAUAUCAGCGGUCUAGUAGUAGUAGGCUUCUGUUGUCAGGAUACGUCAAAUACAGAAAGUGCGUGGCUUGGUUUGGUUACUUCUACGCGUGGCUUGGGCAGCGUGAGAUACUUUGUGAAACUUGAAAAAGACAACAAAAAGAAAGCAAAUAUGGCUUCCGAGGACGAGAGGAUCGAAACAGCAUCAAAACAGAACAACAUUAUUGCCAACAAGUGGCGAUGCGGGCACGAGGGCCGGAACGUGGUGGUGGCGCGCGUGGCGGGCUCUAACCGGGGGGCUUUGUCGAAAAUUGAGCACGGCACCCCAAGAGGAGGACGUUGAUGCGGUCGCGUUUGCGCAGGCAGCGCAGGACUAUCUGGACGCUGUUGGGCGUAGUCGCCAGCGCCUCUAUGAGCGGCUGCACAUUUCUGAAGUGGAAAACCUUCCACCCGCCCGGCGCCUGCCACUAACGUCGGCCCAAAUGGCCGAAUUAAACGACCUAUGGUUACUAACGGUGGCAGCCACCGAGGAUCGCGUUGCAGCGCGUCUAAAUAAAUUAGGGAGCUCUGUCCACUAAAAUUUUGUCUAGUUAGUUAUCUUUACUAUAAAUUGCAAUCCUAAUUCAUGCACAGUUUAUGAAUUGAUCCAGCUAUGUUCGGGAAUAUGAUGAAUACUAUCAAUACAGUAUAUAUAUCAUAUCUCCGAACACAGCUGGAUCAAUAUAUAAACUGUGUAUAAUAAAUUCUUGCAAUUUAUACUAAAGAUAACUAAGAUUAUAAUUCUAGUUAGGACAGAGCUCCCCAAGUUGAUUAUAAUGAACUUAAAAUUAAAAUAUAUUGAAAAACAAAUUGUCAUUUCUUUUUACUACCCUUUGUUUUCACAUAACUUUAACAUGAAUAUCAUGCCAGCUAUAGCUCUACACUAUCGCCGAACUCAUUGCGUAGUUUGUAUGAGAGCUUUUAUAUAACGCAAGAUGAAAGCAGCAAUGUCCGCCGAAAUCGCCAACUACAUUUUGGCGGAUUCGGUUUAUAAAUAUUGUUUUUCAUUGCAGUAAAUAAAACCUCUUUACAAACUACGCAAUGUUCAUGCAAUCGCGUCGUUGUCUGUCCGAGUUCGGUGAUAGUGUGAGCCUACAUAUAAUCAUUAGGUACUAUGCAAAUUGAAAAUUGGCUAGAAAGUUCUGCUGUUAAACAAUAGAUGGCGUGGCAGAAAGUUUAAGAAAUUACGUAAAAAAUAUUUUCGAGUCACAAUAUUGAUUAUUAUAAGUACUCAACCGAUUUUGAGGAAAUUUGCCACAGAGACAGACGAAACAUCCAGGUGUGACAUAGGCUACUUUUUUAUUUAGAAAAGUUGACCCCAUGGUAAAAUUUGAAAAUUUAUAUGAAAUUAUGUUUUGUACUCUUAACUCCGGAAAUACUGUACGAACUUUAAUAAUUUUAUACUUUAAAACUGGCUUGCUUCAAUUUAUAUCUAAAAGUGUGAAGCUGACGUAAAAAGUAUAAAUUUACGAUCUAUUUUAUGUAAAAUUCCAAUCCAAAUAUUUUUCUAAAAAUUCCCUUAGAUGGCGGUGUUACUUUUUGAAACGCGAUAUGGUUUCGUUUUCUCAAGAAGCUAAGUACCUGGUUCACUUAAGACUUUUUAACCUUUGUAAAUAUUGUAAAUAUUUGUAAAUAUGUACAUAGUUAUGGGAAGGUUCUAAGCACCAGUUACAUUUUUUGAAGGGUCAUGGAUGAGAAUUCAUUCAUGACCUUUAUAUCCUACUAAUAUUAUAAAUGCGAAAGUUUGUGAGUGUAUACGUAUGUAUGUCUCUUUCACGCAAAAUCUACUAGACUGAUUAUUAUGAAAUUUGGUACACGGGUAGAAUAUAAUCUGGAAUAACACAUAGGGUAAUUUUUAUCUCGAAAUUCCCACGGGAGCGAAGCCCCGGGGUGCAGCUUCACCUUAUAAAUAAAUUAAUAGUAGGUACGUACCUAAUCAUCGCCAUAUAGAGACGGAUAUUUACCAUUAUGUAGUUGUUUCUACUA